UGUCGCAUAGCUCAGUGGUAGAGCAAUGAUGUCAUGGGUUCGAUUCCCAUUGCGGCAA
RNAcentral lists this transfer RNA (58 nucleotides) under Bacteriophage sp. RNAcentral's name for it is "tRNA-OTHER". It matches the Rfam family "tRNA". Rfam says of the family: Transfer RNA (tRNA) molecules are approximately 80 nucleotides in length. Their secondary structure includes four short double-helical elements and three loops (D, anti-codon, and T loops). Further hydrogen bonds mediate the characteristic L-shaped molecular structure. tRNAs have two regions of fundamental functional importance: the anti-codon, which is responsible for specific mRNA codon recognition, and the 3' end, to which the tRNAs corresponding amino acid is attached (by aminoacyl-tRNA synthetases). tRNAs cope with the degeneracy of the genetic code in two manners: having more than one tRNA (with a specific anti-codon) for a particular amino acid; and 'wobble' base-pairing, i.e. permitting non-standard base-pairing at the 3rd anti-codon position. The record is from RNAcentral.